GAUGCACCGUGGCCGCGGCCGACCCCGAGUUCGCAGAGGAAGGUGCAAUGCGGAGGGAGAAGAGCAGCUUCCCGGGCUGGGGGCGGCGAGGCAGGAGCGCAGCCGAGCUCCUACCUUUCGGGCCGGGCGGACACCAGCCGCGCGCCCUCGCCGGGCGUCCCGGGCAGGAAAAUCACCACGAAGAGCGAGCCAGGGAAAGGCGGCGGGUGGCUUCAGGACAAGGUGCUGGAAACUUCAACUUCAAGCAAAACAUGAUGAAACCUAUUUUACCACAGGGUGAUUAACGAAAACAAGAGGUGAGGAACAGAAGUUCAAUGAAGUAACUUAAGAAUAGAAGUUUCUGAACACAAAAUGAAUUGAGUUCAGCAUGAGGGGGUGGUGGUAUCAUUUCCUGAACCAGAAACUGGACCACAGGUAACGAGUUCCCCAGGCUCCACACCCCCACCAAUUCAGACAAACUUUAGAAGCUUUAGAAAACUAGAACCGGAGUGAAAGGGGUCUUCAGCAGAUAAGAGGCCAGAAUCUGUAAGUAAAAGCUAAUUCAGCCCACCAGCCAAAAUACACUAUGGCUAAAACCACUGGUAGUCGGAAGCAAGGUCACUGGCCACAUUCCGGACCUGUCAGUUCCAAGCCUCGCUGCCCUGCUUCUCCCUGCGGUUCCCCGAAAGGCAGACUCCAGGUCGUACGUGACGAGAAAGCCUCUCUUAUCGCUGUUUUCGUUUUCACAGCCCUCUUGCCCCCAAGGGCCGGGUUCUCUGGCUGCCGGACCCGCCCUUCUGCGCACGGCAGAUUCCCUAUCUCCGGGCCGCACCCCUGCA
Long non-coding RNA from Talpa occidentalis (Iberian mole), 818 nucleotides. RefSeq lists it as uncharacterized. The record is from RefSeq and is a predicted model, not a curated record. NCBI's taxonomy places the organism in Eukaryota, Metazoa, Chordata, Mammalia, Eulipotyphla, Talpidae. The transcript is spliced from 4 exons.